CCCGGAAGUGGAACUCUCGGCCAUUCAGCCUUUGGGUGAAGACGGAGGCGGGUUCUGGAGAGACGUACACUGUCAGGGAGUGUUUGCUUCGCCUCCACUUCUGUUCCUCCCAGCCCUGAUGCUGCUCCGGGUCACAUACUCGGCCUAAGCCGGCUUCAGCCUCUCCAGGCAGAAGUCUCCCGGAGCCAUGGCCGAGUACUCCUAUGUGAAGUCUACCAAGCUCAUGCUCAAGGGAACCAAGGCGAAGAGUAAGAAGAAAAAGAGCAAAUAUAAGAAGAGAAAAAGAGAAGAAGACGAAGAAACCCAGCUUGAUAUUGUUGAUUAGAUCUUGUGCUGAAAGAGAAACCAAGAAAAAAGAU
Molecule: long non-coding RNA, 359 nt
Organism: Nomascus leucogenys (northern white-cheeked gibbon)
Lineage: Eukaryota; Metazoa; Chordata; Mammalia; Primates; Hylobatidae
Exons: 3
Source: RefSeq, a predicted model, not a curated record